UGCGCUCCGAAGAUCAGUUCAAGCUGAGAUCGCGUCGCGUUUGCUUCGACUACGGCCUACGACUUCGGUGUGCAUUGGAGAGCCAGCCGAUCUGUCCGAUCGGUAAACUGUCGGUCCGACAAUACAACAGCAGAAUCGUACACACGAAAAUCGCGCAAUAAAUUCCACUAUUUUUAGCAUAUUACUGCUCUGUGCAACAAACAGUUCAAGUGAAGUGUAAUGAAAUGUGUGCAGCGGCAGCAGGGGCACACUAACAACCUGUCGCUCUGGCUGG
Drosophila obscura is the source of this 274-nucleotide long non-coding RNA. RefSeq lists it as uncharacterized. Lineage: Eukaryota; Metazoa; Arthropoda; Insecta; Diptera; Drosophilidae. The transcript is spliced from 2 exons. The record is from RefSeq and is a predicted model, not a curated record.